Molecule: long non-coding RNA, 532 nt
Filed under: Heterocephalus glaber (naked mole-rat)
Lineage: Eukaryota; Metazoa; Chordata; Mammalia; Rodentia; Bathyergidae
Description: lncRNA (ENSHGLG00100040838.1)
Source: RNAcentral
GGAGGAGGAAGGCAAAGGGACCGCACCCUGGAGCCCUUCGCACCCUGGCCAACCGGGGGCCAGGCACCUCGGCAACGCCCCAGAAACGCCCUGGAAGGAAUUGCUACCGAAUCAGAGCACUAAAGAUUGAACUCAGAGUCUUUUGGAAGAGCUCUACCACUGAGAUACACCCCUCACCCUUUGAACAAAAAUUUGACAAACAACUCCUUAGCAUUAUCUUACUUCAUGUUGAGAUUACUCAAGAUACAAGGAGACAACUGAUCGUGUCAUGAUACCUAACUCCUAACUCAUGCAAGGUCCCUGCAGAAAAAUGUCUGAGGCUGUUAAGCCAGAAUUCAUGGGUGCCAUCUGUAUGGAUAAGAUCACUGGGAGGCUUUUAUACCCAAUUACUAUGGAAGCUGAUUUUAAUAAAAUGCAUGGCUCUGUCUACACUGGAGCAGUUUAUACAGGUGGAAGAUUUAAUGGUGUUGCUACAACAUUUAUGGAGGAUGAGCCAAGAGCUGUAUACACACAUUGUCAUGCAAGUCUUGGG